Beta vulgaris subsp. vulgaris (sugar beet) is the source of this 799-nucleotide long non-coding RNA. RefSeq lists it as uncharacterized. The transcript is spliced from 2 exons. NCBI's taxonomy places the organism in Eukaryota, Viridiplantae, Streptophyta, Magnoliopsida, Caryophyllales, Amaranthaceae. The record is from RefSeq and is a predicted model, not a curated record.
ACAAAAUAUAUAUUUUUUAGCCCUCCAAAAUUUCAAAAGGAAGGCAUUCAAAUUAAACCCCACGAUUCCACGAGAUUAACAGUUGUGAGACUGAGAGUUCAUGUAUAUCGCCGAGUUGAAUUCCUCCACUGCAUCAAACACCACACCUCUUAUUCCACCGCUCGUUAUCGGCCCUGCCGCAUCUAAAGCCGACGAGUCUUCCCCCUGCCGCGCCUAAUGCCGAGGCUACUGCUGCCAUCAAUUGUCGCACCAAACUUCUACCAAUUAGGGCUCCGCUGAUUGUUCCACUGCCACCGCCUGCACUGGUUCACUGCUGCCGCCUGCUCCACGCUACUGAUACCAUCAAUAUCUUGCAAACCAGAGAGAAGAAGAACACUGAAACUCAAAAACCCCCAAAAUCAAAAACCCUAAAAUCCAACCUAAUUCAUAAUCAAUGGAGAACCACGAAGAAACAAAUUCAGGUAAGAUGAUGGAUGAGAUCUACGCCAAUAGUGACGAAAAGCAGCGUCACAGACCAAUCACAAGCGCCGAACAACUUGAUUGUGUGAGGACCCUUUCGCUUAGCCGUGACUCUUUCGCCUUCGCCAUCUCCACAUUUCUACGCCAUCGUUGUUUGAGGGCCCUUUCGCUUAGUCGUGCGUCAGGCUCACACAUGCGGGCCUCGAGAAUCUCAUACGCUCUUGGAGAUUACUGAUCUUGGGAUUGGUCUUCUUGCUACCAUGUGUUUGGGUUUGAAAUUCCUCGAUGUAUCUUCCCUGAACGUUAGUUUUGACUUUUGAAUGGAUUGACUUGAUAAACA